Non-coding RNA from Caenorhabditis elegans, 148 nucleotides. Lineage: Eukaryota; Metazoa; Nematoda; Chromadorea; Rhabditida; Rhabditidae. The record is from Ensembl.
AGAAUAUGAAUGAAGCAACCGAAAGUGACUAUUGCGGCCAACUUUACCCGCGCGGUGGGCCAAGCCAGCCUGGCCAGUUGUAUAAUACGGGCACUAUAGAAAGUUAGAUCGUGCAUCGAAAUCCCGCAAAAUACCGUACUAUAUAUAU